AAGUCGUAACAAGGUCUCCGUUGGUGAACCAGCGGAGGGAUCAUUACAGAGUGUAAAAACUCCCAAACCCCUGUGAACGUACCUGUCGUUGCUUCGGCGGAUCGCCCCGGGCGCUGCAAGGUGCCCCGGAGUCAGGCGCCCGCCGGAGGACCGCAAACUCUUGUUUUAUACCGGAAUUCUCUGAGUGGCAUGUCUCAUGCAAAACAAAAUGAAUCAAAACUUUCAACAACGGAUCUCUUGGUUCUG
The sequence is an unclassified non-coding RNA, 246 nucleotides long. The stretch from base 1 to 46 matches the Rfam family "Eukaryotic small subunit ribosomal RNA", at positions 1786 to 1831 of the family's 1831-position model.